UCGCUACUACCGAUUGAAUGAUUUAGUGAGUUACAGGGACUGUUGCCUUAGGUUGGUUCGCCUUCCUCUGGCCUCCAGGAACUGUCGCAAACUUGACCAUUUAGAGGAAGUAA
This 113-nucleotide ribosomal RNA is filed under the name uncultured eukaryote. RNAcentral describes it as "partial small subunit ribosomal RNA". The record is from RNAcentral.